RNAcentral lists this long non-coding RNA (708 nucleotides) under Lactuca sativa (garden lettuce). RNAcentral's name for it is "long non-coding RNA (LSAT_LNC003750)". Lineage: Eukaryota; Viridiplantae; Streptophyta; Magnoliopsida; Asterales; Asteraceae. The record is from RNAcentral.
CUACAAGCGUUAAUGGUAGGUGCGUGUGUUGCUGCGAUGCCUGUUCUUAAAAAGAUCCCGACUUCAGUUCUUUGGGGGUAUUUUGCUUUCAUGGCGAUCGAAAGUUUACCGGGGAAUCAAUUUUGGGAGCGGAUUUUAUUGCUUUUCACUGCUCCAAGUCGAAGAUACAAGUAAGUUUUUCAACGGAUUUUAUUGCUGUAAUUAUGAUUUUGCGAUUGAUUAGCAAUUUGGGAAAUGAAAAAUUUGGAUUAGGGUUUUGGAAGAACAUCAUGCGACGUUUGUGGAAACUGUACCUUUCAAGACUGUUGCUGCUUUCACAUUGUUUCAGACGGCUUACUUAUUUGCGUGUUUUGGCAUAACGUGGAUUCCGAUUGCUGGUGUUCUUUUCCCACUUUUGAUCAUGCUUCUUGUUCCUGCGAGGCAAUAUUUGCUUCCUAAGUUUUUUAAAGGUGCUCAUCUUCAGGAUUUAGAUGCAGCUGAAUACGAAGAAGCCUCGGCCACACCUUACAAUAUGGCCUUCGGUGUAAGUCAACUAAACAAUAAUAAAAUCAUAAAAAGAUGUAAACAAAAAUCUACUUUUCUUGAGUUUAACAACUAAUUUAUGCCAAAUGGUUGCAGGACGAUGAGACUCCAACAAGAACUACCCAAGUGGAUAGUGCAGAAGUACUGGAUGGAAUUAUAACAAGAAGCCGAGGAGAGAUACGCCAC